ACGAACCAAGAGAGGGCAAAACGAAGACUCGUAGGUGGUGUAGAAAUUGGCGAUUGCGGAUCGAUUUCUGGCGAAGGGAUCAUCUCCGAGAUCGACAAGGCCGAAGAACGAAGGCGUAUGAACGAAGGUGAUUGAGGGUAACACGAUGGAAAUUGACCACUCACCCAUGGCGCUACCUCGAUUUGGGGGAACAAAGAAUGGAAACAGAAGGAGGGUGGUCUCAGUGGUGGUAAUCGAUUGAAAUGAGGAAGCUUCUCCGGUGUUUGACCGAACCGAAGGAGGAGAAGAGACGAAAGCAGCGAGAUUUUUCUUUCUCUUGUCCAGCUGCGAGGUGCGAAGGAAAGGAGGUCCGAAGGCGAGUCCGGUCGGUCAGUAGCAUGUUGCAGGUGGUGACAGGAAAAAGGAAAAGAACGAGGGAGGGAGAGGAAAGGUGGUGGUGAUUGACAAACCAGCAAAAGGGUUGAGGAGGGUGGAUGGACAGUGGUGGUUCAAUGGUGGUGAUUCUGUAGGGCAAAGGAGGGAGGCAGUCGACCUUUAACGACUCUCCUUGUGGUUUCUUUCUUCUUUUGGUCCGAUUGGUAACAAUACAAAUGGGUAAGCGAAGAAAACACACACUUCGGUGUGUUCUUGGUAUAAAAUGAAGAAGAAGAAAAGAAAAUGGCAGCAAACAGCUUCAUCGAUUUCAGGAGGUGCUUGAUCAUCCAUAUCUCCACAAAUACGAUUUUAUCAUUGUACAGUUGUGUUUGAGUGUUCAUUUUAACAUUGUACAGGUUUUGUUUAAGUGUUGUAUUGGUGAUUAUAAUUCUACAGAUCUUUACAAGAUCUGGUUGUACCCAUGUACUCAAUAUAGUUUGAUUUAGAGUAUCAUUGUAUUAUUUCUUUGGGCUUCAACAAGUGUGCAUAAUCCUUUGAAUGUGCAUUUAUAUAACAUAA
Non-coding RNA from Lactuca sativa (garden lettuce), 933 nucleotides. The record is from RefSeq and is a predicted model, not a curated record. Lineage: Eukaryota; Viridiplantae; Streptophyta; Magnoliopsida; Asterales; Asteraceae.